Molecule: transfer RNA, 74 nt
Filed under: Blochmannia endosymbiont of Camponotus (Colobopsis) obliquus
Lineage: Bacteria; Pseudomonadati; Pseudomonadota; Gammaproteobacteria; Enterobacterales; Enterobacteriaceae
Description: tRNA-Val (TAC) (tRNA-Val-TAC-1-1)
Rfam family: tRNA
About the family: Transfer RNA (tRNA) molecules are approximately 80 nucleotides in length.
Source: Rfam by way of RNAcentral
AGGUGAUUAGCUCAAUUUGGGAGAGCACCUCCCUUACAAGGAGGGGGUAGGCGGUUCAAAUCCGCCAUCACCUA